GUGGCUAUGGUGAAGUGGUUAACACUCCGGACUGUGAAUCCGGCAUUCGAGGGUUCAAAUCCCUCUAGUCACCCCA
This 76-nucleotide transfer RNA is filed under the name Pseudomonadota bacterium. Its description in RNAcentral is "Proteobacteria bacterium tRNA-His". It matches the Rfam family "tRNA". From Rfam's summary of the family: Transfer RNA (tRNA) molecules are approximately 80 nucleotides in length. Their secondary structure includes four short double-helical elements and three loops (D, anti-codon, and T loops). Lineage: Bacteria; Pseudomonadati; Pseudomonadota. The record is from RNAcentral.